This 330-nucleotide unclassified non-coding RNA is filed under the name soil metagenome. RNAcentral's name for it is "partial contains 5.8S ribosomal RNA, internal transcribed spacer 2, and large subunit ribosomal RNA". The stretch from base 1 to 120 matches the Rfam family "5.8S ribosomal RNA", at positions 35 to 154 of the family's 154-position model. The record is from RNAcentral.
GAUGAAGAACGCAGCGAAAUGCGAUAAGUAAUGCGAAUUGCAGAAUCCGUGAGUCAUCGAAUCUUUGAACGCACAUUGCGCCCCUUGGUUAUUCCGAAGGGCAUGCCUGUUCGAGCGUCAUUUCACCACUCAAGCCUCGCUUGGUAUUGGGCAACGCGGUCCGCCGCGUGCCUCAAAUCGACCGGCUGGGUCUUCUGUCCCCUAAGCGUUGUGGAAACUAUUCGCUAAAGGGUGUUCGGGAGGCUACGCCGUAAAACAACCCCAUUUCUAAGGUUGACCUCGGAUCAGGUAGGGAUACCCGCUGAACUUAAGCAUAUCAAUAACGGAGGA